UACGGGGGGGGUAAGCGUUGUUCGGAAUUACUGGGCGUAAAGGGCGCGUAGGCGGUCAGCACAAGUCAGUUGUGAAAUCUCCGAGCUUAACUCGGAAAGGUCAACUGAUACUGUGCGACUAGAGUGCAGAAGGGGCAACUGGAAUUCUCGGUGUAGCGGUGAAAUGCGUAGAUAUCUGGAGGAACACCGGUGGCGAAGGCGGCGUCCUGGACCAAUACUGACACUGAGUGAGCGAAAGCCAGGGGAGCAAACGGG
This 255-nucleotide ribosomal RNA is filed under the name uncultured bacterium. Its description in RNAcentral is "partial 16S ribosomal RNA". It matches the Rfam family "Bacterial small subunit ribosomal RNA", at positions 524 to 776 of the family's 1533-position model. The record is from RNAcentral.